CUUGGUGACAAUAGCGUUUUGGACCCACCUGACUCCAUGCCGAACUCAGUAGUGAAACGAAACAGCGCCGAUGAUAGUGUAGCAUUUGCUAUGU
This 94-nucleotide ribosomal RNA is filed under the name Pseudoalteromonas fuliginea. Lineage: Bacteria; Pseudomonadati; Pseudomonadota; Gammaproteobacteria; Alteromonadales; Pseudoalteromonadaceae. RNAcentral also lists the same sequence under 1 other name. The record is from RNAcentral.